RNAcentral lists this ribosomal RNA (399 nucleotides) under uncultured bacterium. Its description in RNAcentral is "bacterial SSU rRNA". It matches the Rfam family "Bacterial small subunit ribosomal RNA", at positions 358 to 773 of the family's 1533-position model. The record is from RNAcentral.
GGAAUAUUGCACAAUGGGCGCAAGCCUGAUGCAGCAACGCCGCGUGAAGGAUGAAGGCUUUCGGGUUGUAAACUUCUUUUCUGGGGGACGAGAAAGGGCGGUACCCCAGGAAUAAGUCUCGGCUAACUACGUGCCAGCAGCCGCGGUAAAACGUAGGAGGCGAGCGUGAUCCGGAUUUACUGGGCGUAAAGCGCGGGUAGGCGGUGACUUAAGUCAUGCGUGAAAGCUCCUGGCUCAACUGGGAGAGGUCGUGUGAAACUGGGUCACUAGAGGCAGGUAGAGGCAAACGGAAUUCCGGGUGGAGUGGUGAAAUGCGUAGAGAUCCGGAGGAACACCAGUGGCGAAGGCGGUUUGCUGGCCCUGACCUGACGCUCAGACGCGAAGGCAUGGGGAGCGAAC